GAUGAAGAACGUAGCAAAAUGCGAUAAGUAAUGUGAAUUGCAGAAUUCAGUGAAUCAUCGAAUCUUUGAACGCACAUUGCGCCCGCCAGUAUUCUGGCGGGCAUGCCUGUUCGAGCGUCAUUUCAACCCUCAAGCCCUCGGGUUUGGUGUUGGGGAUCGGCGAGCCUUUCUGGCAAGCCGGCCCCGAAAUCUAGUGGCGGUCUCGCUGCAGCCUCCAUUGCGUAGUAGUAAAACCCUCGCAACUGGAACGCGGCGCGGCCAAGCCGUUAAACCCCCAACUUCUGAAUGUUGACCUCGGAUCAGGUAGGAAUACCCGCUGAACUUAAGAAUAUCAAUAAGCGGAGGA
This 346-nucleotide unclassified non-coding RNA is filed under the name soil metagenome. Its description in RNAcentral is "partial contains 5.8S ribosomal RNA, internal transcribed spacer 2, and large subunit ribosomal RNA". The stretch from base 1 to 120 matches the Rfam family "5.8S ribosomal RNA", at positions 35 to 154 of the family's 154-position model. The record is from RNAcentral.